This 290-nucleotide unclassified non-coding RNA is filed under the name Hevea brasiliensis (rubber tree). The record is from RNAcentral. Lineage: Eukaryota; Viridiplantae; Streptophyta; Magnoliopsida; Malpighiales; Euphorbiaceae.
UCUAGCGGAUUGCCGGUAGAUCUGAAGGCGCCGGACGCGGAGGAUGUAAAAGGCAGCGCAGCAUCGACCAGCGACAACGGGCGCUCAGGCUUUUCACCGAUUUCCUGAGGCUUUUCGGGCUUGAGGUACUCUUGAAAGGAGAGCUGCUGGGCACGAUAGCCCGUCGUUUGGCUGUUCGCCACGUUGUUUGCGGCAACAUCCAGCCGACGCCGGAGCGCCAUCAAUCGUGAGAGGCUGAUGAGCGUAGUUUCUCCGACCACCCGAACCUCUUCUCGUCGAAUCGCUCCGAC